This is an RNA transcript of Salvelinus fontinalis (brook trout), 5195 nucleotides long. It is a transcript of the gene named microtubule-actin cross-linking factor 1, isoforms 6/7-like, with no coding region annotated. The record is from RefSeq and is a predicted model, not a curated record. Lineage: Eukaryota; Metazoa; Chordata; Actinopteri; Salmoniformes; Salmonidae. The transcript is spliced from 11 exons.
AUGACUAUAUGCUCUAUAUUAUACCUGCAGAUCAUCACAGCAGCCGAAGUUGCUGUGCAGAGGGAGGAGAUCGUCCGAGCAUCAGGCCUCAUCCCGUCACAUAGGGAGGGUAUCCUCCAAACAGCCAGUGUCCCUGCACAGAGGGAGGGGAUUCUCUCAGCAGCCAGCAUCAAUGCACAGAGGGAGGAGAUCCUCAUUUCGUCAGGCCUCAUCACUGCACAGAGGGAGGGGAUCCUCCAAACAGCCAGUGUCCCUGCACAGAGUGAGGGGGUCCUCCAAACAGCCAGUGUCCCUGCACAGAGUGAGGGGAUCCUCCAAACAGCCAGUGUCCCUGCACAGAGUGAGGAGAUCCUCCAAACAGCCAGUGUCCCUGCACAGAGUGAGGAGAUCCUCCAAACAGCCAGUGUCCCUGCACAGAGGGAGGGGAUUCUCUCAGCCGCCAGCAUCAAUGCACAGAGGGAGGAGAUCCUCAUUUCGUCAGGCCUCAUCACUGCACAGAGGGAGGGGAUCCUCCAAACAGCCAGUGUCCCUGCACAGAGGGAGGGGAUUCUCUCAGCCGCCAGCAUCAAUGCACAGAGGGAGGAGAUACUCCGAUCAUCAGGCCUCAUCCCUGCACGGAGGGAAGGGAUCCUCCAAACAGCCAGUGUCACUGCGCAGAGGGAGGGAAUCGUCCCAAUGGCCAGCGUCCCUGCGCACAGGGAGGGGAUUGUACCAAAGGCUAGUGUUCCUGCUGAGAGGGAGGAGAUCCUCCAAACAGCCAGUGUCCCUGCACAGAGGGAGGGGAUUCUCCAAACAUCAAGUGUCCCUGCACCAAGGGAGGAGAUUCACCAGUCAGCCAUUGUCCCUGCACAGAGGGAGGGGGUUCUCCGAGCAGCUAGCAUCACUGCGCAGAGGGAGGAGAUCUUCAGAGCAUCAGGCCUCAUCCCUGCACAUAGGAAGGGGCUCCUCCGAGCAUCAGGCCUCAUCCCUGCACAGAGGGAGGGGAUUCUUCCAGCAGCUUCUUCCAUCAGCUACUAUCAGAAGAAUAAGCUCCUCAGAGCAUCACAACUCACCCCUGCACAAAGGAAGUUGAGAUUCCUGAUAGCCAGUGUCACUGCGCAGAGGAAGGGAAUCUUCCCAAAGGCCAGCGUCCCUGCGCACAGGGAGUGGAUUGUCCCAAAGGCUAGUGUCCCUGCAGAGAGGGAGGAGAUCCUCCUCACAGCCAGUGUCCCUGUGAUGAAUGAAAACAAUCCUCCACAACCACCUCCCAUCAUCCCCAUGGUGGCACCACUGUGGAAAAUGAUUGGUGGAGCGUGUCCUCCACCUGUGGAUUUCUAUUCCAAGAGAAGAGAUGUCCGACUUAGAUAUGUUGAGCAUCCUGCUAUGAUGUCCAUCACCAAGCCGGAACACUCUGAUGCCAACCCUCAGUUCCAGACUGGCAGCCGGCCGGUGGCCGAGCCCGAGACCCCUGCUGUUCACAAUAACAGUGGAGGCUGGCUCAGCUGGGUCUUUGGGAGUGGAAGAGCUAAGAAGGAGGUUCAUCUACCUGAGGACAAAGACAGAUCUAUUGUCUGGGAUCCAACUCUGCACAGAUGGGUUAACAGAACUGAGCCCAAGGUUGAGAACAAGUGUGUACCACCUCCACCGAUGGGGACAUAUGGAUAUCAGGGGAACACUGGCAGUGUCCCCAAAGGAGUAAAUCCUUACUCUAUGAAAGCAGCAGGUCUAUGGGGCAGCAGAUACCCUACAAUGAAUUACAAUGAUAGGACCAACUCAAAGCCUCCAAGCCAUGGGCCUGGACUGCUUACUAGACAGCUCUCUGGCUUGCUCCCUCCUUCACACUUUGACCUCAUGGCACCAAUGGUUGUGCCACCUGACACUCUACCCUACUGAGGUGCGAGGGCCAUCCUGUGCCACCAGUCAAUUGAUGGUGGAUGACCUUCUGACCCCGUGCUCGCCAGGUGACCCGGCUGCCAUAGAAUUGACCUGGAUGGAUGUGCCUAGCGACAAGCUGCUGUAGCCCAUCUGCAUGUCCGACAUGCUGCCCUCACUAUAUACCACGCAACCCACAGUCAACAUGGAGGUCUUGUUCAAGGUCAGGAAGUUCACAGAGGACUUAGAACAGGAGGUUUGAGAGCUCCUGGGUGGCAGGGGCUUUACUACUUCUUACUCAGUCUCUCCUAUCAAGACCCAACUCCAGUCAAAGAGUAGCUACAGUAUUACAGCAGUAUUACAACACUACGAACCUGCAUUGGCAAGAAUGAUGGAGCAUUUUAAUUUACACACAAUUGUGCAAUGGAAAUGUUUUAUUUUUGCAUAUCCCAACACCCCCUGAGACACCCACAAGUGCCUUGCUCAAGGGCACAGCGACAUUAUUAUUUAUUUUCCCACUUUGUCGGCUACGGAAUUUGAGCCAGCAACCUUUCGGUAACUGGCCCAAUGGUCUAACCUUGAGGCUACGUGCCGCCCUUUAGAAUGUAGGGUGACUCCCCUAGUGGGUCCUGAACCCAGAUCAGCAGCACUACAUUGCUGUGUGUCUGUAUAGUUGAGGGUAUAUUGGUUUAGUAAUACUCAUUCCAGUUCUGGUCCCAGAGGGGAUCUCAAUACUGUUACACGUAGCUAUGAUCACCAAGCUACCCUUACUUAAUAAAACCUGAAUUCAAAAAGAACAAGAUGUGCUUGUCAUUAUUUUAUUUUAACUUGUAUUAUAGUAUACAAACAUUUCUGUCCACAACUUUUGAAUCAGGUACCAUUUAAAUGUAAGGUGCUUAAUACAGUUCCAGCCACUAGGGGGUACUAAAAUAAAUAUAGUUUAAGUGAAUUGGGAAGAGUAAGAAUGAAAACUAAAGAAAAACUGUCAACGGUUGUUACCUGUGCUGACAUGAUAAAAAGUGGAGUACACAGUACUUUUCGCGUUGUAGUUUAUAUGAUAAACUCAUUGGAAGGGUAACAAAUUUGGAGGCACCGCUGAGAUGUAUUUUCAUGUGAGCACCGGCCCAUAUUCCUGGAACGGACAACGAGUGAGAGACAUUGGGAGAGUAGCUAGCUAGCUAACGUUAGCAGGCUAACCACCUAACGGAGUGUAGCUAUCUUGCCAUUGCCUGCAUUGUCGUUGUUGCCACGUGAGUAGGACAAUAUGAGUCGAGAGAGGGAAACGUUGUUGGAUGAAAUCGAACAGAGUUUAUGGACUUUAACUGAGGACAAUUUACGGCACCUGUGUGUAGUUGUGGAAUAGGAGGUGUAGAUGACUGAAGUAAAAGGAAAGAGCCAUUGCGCUUUGCGGCGAAAAUUGAUGGAAGAUUACUGUGAGAAGGAAGCUUUAAUGGAAUCAGAGGAUGAGGGAAUUUCUUGCCUGCUUCAACUGAAAGACGAAAUCAAAGGAAUAUCGGACUCUGAGGAUACUGUGAAAGUCUGCUUUACAAAUCCCAGCCAGUCGGCGCCAACGAGGCAAGUGGACAGCAAUGUGGAACGCCGUUUGGGUCUUUGCGUGUCAAAAAGAUGCACGUCAAAUAACACUAUUUGACACGUCAAAUAAGCUUCUUUAGCAAUCAGGACCUGAAUAUGACUCCAGGUCACACAAUAAUUUAACACGUUCAUUAAUUCUGUACGUAGUUAUUGCACAUUGAUUACACUCUCACUCGUAUUUCAUAUGCCACAAAGAUUCACCGAUACAUAUGCUACGAGUCAAAGAUUUCGUCACUGAUGAUCACAUUUGCUUAAAGGUCGUUUGGACUCCGCCCAAGUCUCAGGUAGUGAUGAUAGACGUUCACUCAACUUCUGUUCUUCCGAGGUAAAAUUAGGUAGCUAGUUAUUAACAAUAGCAGCCCAAUUUCUCAAAAAUUGUAAAUCUACCAUCUCUGAUUGCACACCAGACUGCUGCUCACGGACAGAAGAGAUGGACUUCAACCAUCAAUAGCCAGGCUAGAGACCAUGUGGCGGAGCCUUCGGUGGGCAAGUGGUCAUUUGAUUGAUGAAGAGAUGGCCAGCAAUCUAAUUGCUGUUGCCGAGGAGUUCCUACAAGAGGCAAAUGACAUCUAACAACGGGAACCUUACGAAAAUGCCAAUGUCCUGUCAAGUGCCUUUGGAGGGGAGGCGGUAUCACAUCACCAAGGAGCAGCUUGAGUUCCUCAUAGAUUGUCAUAUGACCAUCAGACAAAUGGCAGAUGUUCUCAAUGUGUCGCACUCUGUGGUCAAGUUGCGCAUGAGGUGUAGGAUUGUUAUCCCUGGUGCUGUGGAGGGUUACAGCAGACUUGUUGUGUUUCUGAAGGCCUCUGACAACAACAGGACCGCCACAGUCAUGGAGUCAUUCGAAGCAGCCAUCACCAGCUACGGAACACCAUCCCAGAAACGUACGAUAGACAUCUUCAACUCUAAACGGAUGGGGACCAGAGUUUAGACACAGGUGGCCUUAACAAAAGUUAAGUACUUCCCCAUUCCAGUACGAUUCUGUUUGGUUAUAUUUGGAGAGAGUCAGAGACUGUUAAGAUAUACGGCCGAUGGUUAUUGUAUUUUGCUCUAUUGCGCUUUAGCACAGCAUUCCAUCUGCUGACACAUUAUUUGUCUUCCACUCAGUACAACACGACCCAGGAGAAGCCUACUGCAAGCACUGGUUUGGAACCUUCAGAGCGUGCCUGCUGUGGGAGGACAACAGAACAUUCCGAAUGGACAUUAUUAAAACAGAACUUACAUUUUUGUAAUGCCCAAUCGGGACUUUUAUAACUUGUUAAAGUAAAUAAUUGUGUGGAGAACGCCCUAUAGUUAAAAAAAUAAACUAUGAAGAUAGUGGUUUGAACUCGUUACAUUUUAUAUAAUUGUGAUUAACAGCAACCUAUUACAGUUAGUAACAUAACAUUGUGACAGCUCAAAUGAUGUGGUUGAAGAUGGACUAGUGCAGGGCUCCUAACCUUGUUCUUGGAGAGCUACUGUCUUGUUGGUUCACUUUGACCCUAAUCUAGUGCACCUGAUUUGAAUAAUUACCUGCUUAAUAAGUUAAUGAGGUUCGUUAAAACUGAGGUUGGAUUGAAAACCUACAGGAGGGUAGCUCUCCAGGAACAGGGUUGGAGAGCCUUGGACUAAUGAAUCUAGUUCUUAGAUCAAUGCAUUUGAAAUUCGAUAAGUCACUACGAAGGUGCAGUUCCCAGAAGUGGAGAUGUCACUUAAUGCAGUGGAUGGGAAGCCUUAUUUCAUGUAGUUCUAAUUAAAUGAUAAUGGUUGAA